ACGAACGCUGGCGGCGUGCCUAACACAUGCCAGUCGAGCGGAAAGGCCCUUCGGGGUACUCGAGCGGCGAACGGGUGAGUAACACGUGAGUAACCUGCCCCAGACUUUGGGAUAACCCUCGGAAACGGGGGCUAAUACCGGAUACGACACAGCUUCGCAUGGGGUCUGUGUGGAAAGUUUUUCGGUUUGGGAUGGGCUCGCGGCCUAUCAGCUUGUUGGUGGGGUGAUGGCCUACCAAGGCGACGACGGGUAGCCGGCCUGAGAGGGCGACCGGCCACACUGGGACUGAGACACGGCCCAGACUCCUACGGGAGGCAGCAGUGGGGAAUAUUGCACAAUGGGCGGAAGCCUGAUGCAGCGACGCCGCGUGAGGGAUGACGGCCUUCGGGUUGUAAACCUCUUUCAGCAGGGACGAAGCGUAAGUGACGGUACCUGCAGAAGAAGCGCCGGCCAACUACGUG
RNAcentral lists this ribosomal RNA (461 nucleotides) under uncultured bacterium. RNAcentral's name for it is "partial 16S ribosomal RNA". It matches the Rfam family "Bacterial small subunit ribosomal RNA", at positions 29 to 507 of the family's 1533-position model. The record is from RNAcentral.